Molecule: long non-coding RNA, 592 nt
Filed under: Malus domestica (apple)
Lineage: Eukaryota; Viridiplantae; Streptophyta; Magnoliopsida; Rosales; Rosaceae
Description: long non-coding RNA (MDOM_LNC017914)
Source: RNAcentral
GCCACAGAAAUUAAGAUCGACCAAAUUAGUAGUUAGUCUGCAGAAAUUAAGAAAUCUUAUCACAUGUAAGAAAAAGCACUUGAGAAAUUACGAUAGACCAACUUAAUAAUUAGUCAACAGAAAUUAAGAAAUCUUAGUCCACAGCUUAUAAGGAACGGAAGAGUCAGACGACUUUGUCCGCACCACGAAGCACGGACACGCCGGUUUUAUGGCGUAUCCCGUAUCAGAUACGGUUUGGGAUACGACAAGCACACCCGAUACGGCCCAAUACGCAUCGGAUACGUAUCUGAACGUAUCCGUUGACCAGUCGACCUCUGGAUACGUCGUCGAUAAGCUUUCGAUACGCGAAUUCUACUGUCGGGAUACGUUUUCAAGGAUAAUCAGACUAUGGUGGGAGAGACUCUCACCGUGGACCGGCGUCUGCAACUGUGUUGGCUACGUCGUCUACAACAGCAAGGCUGCUGGGUAACUGGGUUUCGAUUUGAACAAUAGAACAGCUAAGGAGAAGAAGCAACCGUAUUUUGGUGGGGAUCUAUUGAGAGAAGCAACGGAGAGAGAGCUUUACAGGUCAAGUCAGUCUUUCUUUUUUUUU